This 80-nucleotide ribosomal RNA is filed under the name Moraxella sp. RCAD0137. The record is from RNAcentral. Lineage: Bacteria; Pseudomonadati; Pseudomonadota; Gammaproteobacteria; Moraxellales; Moraxellaceae.
GCUGACGACAAUAGCAAGAUGGAACCACCUGAUCCCUUCCCGAACUCAGAAGUGAAACGUCUUAGCGCCGAUGGUAGUGU